Molecule: long non-coding RNA, 486 nt
Filed under: Homo sapiens (human)
Lineage: Eukaryota; Metazoa; Chordata; Mammalia; Primates; Hominidae
Description: HSALNT0106057
Source: RNAcentral
UCAUUAGCACAACUUUACCAGAAGUUACAACCAGGAGUAGACGGGAGGCCUGGAAGGCUUUAAGAUGAACUGAUUCCAUCUUUUAUAAGGUUUCUGCAGUUCUCAUCCUCAAUGGUGACAUAGCUCCUGGAUCUCAUGGGUCUUAAAUGGGGCUUCCUCACAUACCUGUGACCCUGCAACCCUAGCCCAAGCUCUGCCCUCAGGACUGAAGAAAAUCUGGGUGGGCCCUCAUGUGAUGCAACACAAACCAACUGACCCUUGCUGAGAGCCUUGCUGGGAUCCUGAGACUCAGUUUGAGGACAAGGCUUCUGUCACCCAUAUGAUGUGCUUGACUUCUGGCUGCAGGACUUGGGGUUGGUUUCUCUGGGCCUGGAGACUUGUCUUAGGAACCUGGCCAGUCCUUUCAGACCGACUGGAAUGGGGCCUUGCCUUGUUCUUGAGAGAUUCACCAUUCCUACUCCCCAUCCUAUGCCACACCAGGAACUG